This 311-nucleotide unclassified non-coding RNA is filed under the name Hevea brasiliensis (rubber tree). Lineage: Eukaryota; Viridiplantae; Streptophyta; Magnoliopsida; Malpighiales; Euphorbiaceae. The record is from RNAcentral.
GGAAAAUAGAAGCAAUUAAGUAAUUGACAAUACACUUACAGUACAGAUUGACGAUUUUGAAUGUAGAUUAAAUCUCCCCAAGAUAUAUCUGUUUAUCACUACUGCAAGAUGCAACAAUAGGCUCACUGGGAUGGAAGACACACUCAUUGACGGAUCCAGUAUGCCCAGGAAGCUUAUACAGUAUUCGUCGAGACGUUGUAUCCCAUAUGUAAACCAUCCGAUCUGAACUACCUGCAGUGACCUUGCUACCGUCUGCAGACCAACUACAUUUCAGCAGGUUCUUUUCAAAGUUAUGUUGGUGCCCUUCGAAU